GUCCGAGCGUUAUCCGGAUUUAUUGGGUUUAAAGGGAGCGUAGGUUGACGUAUAAGUCAGCUGUGAAAGUUUACGGCUCAACCGUGAAAUUGCAGUUGAUACUGUAUGUCUUGAGUGUACAAGAGGUGGGCGGAAUUCGUGGUGUAGCGGUGAAAUGCUUAGAUAUCACGAAGAACUCCAAUUGCGAAGGCAGCUCACUGGGAUACAACUGACACUGAGGCUCGAAAGUGUGGGUAUC
RNAcentral lists this ribosomal RNA (238 nucleotides) under uncultured bacterium. Its description in RNAcentral is "partial 16S ribosomal RNA". It matches the Rfam family "Bacterial small subunit ribosomal RNA", at positions 532 to 769 of the family's 1533-position model. The record is from RNAcentral.